GUGGCGAAUAUUGGGCAAUGGGGGAAACCCUGACCCAGCAACGCCGCGUGAAGGAAGAAGGUUUUCGGAUCGUAAACUUCUAUCCUUGGUGAAGAUAAUGACGGUAGCCAAGAAGGAAGCCCCGGCUAACUACGUGCCAGCAGCCGCGGUAAUACGUAGGGGGCAAGCGUUGGCCGGAAUGAUUGGGCGUAAAGGGCGCGUAGGCGGCCUGGUAAGUCUGGAGUGAAAGUCCUGCUUUUAAGGUGGGAAUUGCUUUGGAUACUGUCGGGCUUGAGGGCAGGAGAGGUAAGCGGAAUUCGCGGUGUAGCGGUGAAAUGCGUAGAGAUCGGGAGGAACACCAGUGGCGAAGGCGGCUUACUGGACUGUAACUGACGCUGAGGCGCGAAAGUGUGGGGAGCAAACAGGAUUAGAUACCCGUGUAGUCC
Molecule: ribosomal RNA, 425 nt
Filed under: uncultured bacterium
Lineage: Bacteria
Description: partial 16S ribosomal RNA
Rfam family: Bacterial small subunit ribosomal RNA
Source: RNAcentral